Molecule: ribosomal RNA, 427 nt
Filed under: uncultured Rhodocyclaceae bacterium
Lineage: Bacteria; Pseudomonadati; Pseudomonadota; Betaproteobacteria; Rhodocyclales; Rhodocyclaceae
Description: partial 16S ribosomal RNA
Rfam family: Bacterial small subunit ribosomal RNA
Source: RNAcentral
UGGGGAAUUUUGGACAAUGGGCGAAAGCCUGAUCCAGCCAUGCCGCGUGAGUGAAGAAGGCCUUCGGGUUGUAAAGCUCUUUCGGACAGAAAGAAAUCGCACGGGUAAAUAAUUCGUGUGGAUGACGGUACUGUAAGAAGAAGCACCGGCUAACUACGUGCCAGCAGCCGCGGUAAUACGUAGGGUGCGAGCGUUAAUCGGAAUUACUGGGCGUAAAGCGUGCGCAGGCGGUUGCAUAAGACAGAUGUGAAAUCCCCGGGCUUAACCUGGGAACUGCGUUUGUGACUGUGUAACUGGAGUACGGCAGAGGGGGGUGGAAUUCCUGGUGUAGCAGUGAAAUGCGUAGAUAUCAGGAGGAACACCGAUGGCGAAGGCAGCCCCCUGGGCCUGUACUGACGCUCAUGCACGAAAGCGUGGGGAGCAAACA